GUUUCACGAAGCAGGUUUAUUGAAAACUCUGAGUUUCUUAACCCUGAAAUGAGGGAAACUCAGAGUUUUCCGUUUCACAAAGCGAGGUAACUUAACCCUGAGACAGAGGGGUAACUCUAGCCUGUUUCACAAAGAGGGGUAACUUCAACUCUCGGUCAGUUACCGCAGUAACAGACUCUAUGACUCUAACCUGGUCACCAGCAGGUUUAUCUGAGAAAACCUCCAGUUUCUCUCUGUCUCCGCCCUCUUUCAGCCACACGCUGUUUCAUUUCCUCAUUCAUUCAGUCAGUAAGCGAGCGAGUUUUGGCGUAGAACAGCUUUUAUUAACGAUCCAGUGGAUAAAGGAGCAGCAUUACUGCACAGAUCAUUAAAUAUUCGUCGGUAGAUUGUUAUCAGACCGAGCAUAAAUGUUCUCGCAUUUCCGGACAAUUAUCGGUUUGAGCGGUACCGUUUCGUAAUCGUUUCAAGUCCGUAAUCUACAUAAACAACCUAAUCCGUCCUUACAUUUACAUUACCAACCAGUCAUGCUCUCACAUCCAGCAGAUAUUGUGUGUUGCGCUGCGGUUCUUUGCAAAUGAAAGUUUUUAUAUGAUGUCAGAGAUGCAGAGUAAGACAACUGUAUGGAGGACAGUCAGAAAAGUUUUCCUGGCUCUGAAACGACUUUAACUCAUCAUUGUGGUUUUCCUGGACAUAAACCUGUCAGAACAUCAAGGAGGAUCCACAGGAUUACAGGAUUUCCCAGUGUGAUUGGCUGCAUAGAUGCACACACAUCCCCAUCACAGCUCCCUCACAUCAUGAACAGGAAGUCCAUUCACAGCAUCAAUGUGCAGGUAGGCUACAGGUAGACUGACUACUGUUUCUAAAUGUUAAAGACUGCAUCAUAGUUCAACAUCUGUCAUUCUCUGCACUGUCCAGAUCAUAUGUGAUGCUGCAUACAUCAUUUCUAAUGUGGAGGCCACGUGGUCUGGGUCUGUUCAUGACUCCAGGAUUUAUGGAGAGUCUAACCUGAGCAACAGACUGCAGCGUGGAGAGUUUGAUGGCCUUCUGCUGGGUGACAGGGGUUACCAUGACAACCCAGGCUGAUGACCUCAUACCCUGACCCUGAACCAGGCCCCCAACAGAACUUCAACCGGACUCACUGCAGGACCAGAGCCCGGGUGGAGAUGACCAUAGGCCUGCUGAAAGCCCGUUUCCAGAGCCUACGUCUCCUCAGGGUGACCCCUGAGAGGGCCUGUGAUAUUACUGUGGCAUGUGUUGUUCUUCAUAAUAUUACCACUAUUAGAGGAGAGCAACACCCUGCCCUACAAACUGAAGACCCAGAUGAUGAGCCCAUCCACCUGCAGCUAUCCAGGACAGCAGAGCAGUCAGAGACACCGUAUGCAAGAAUCACUUUAGAGUUUAAGUCACCAUCAUCACCGCCA
This is a long non-coding RNA of Acanthochromis polyacanthus (spiny chromis), 1421 nucleotides long. RefSeq lists it as uncharacterized. The record is from RefSeq and is a predicted model, not a curated record. Lineage: Eukaryota; Metazoa; Chordata; Actinopteri; Pomacentridae. The transcript is spliced from 3 exons.